RNAcentral lists this ribosomal RNA (800 nucleotides) under uncultured bacterium. Its description in RNAcentral is "bacterial SSU rRNA". It matches the Rfam family "Bacterial small subunit ribosomal RNA", at positions 8 to 796 of the family's 1533-position model. The record is from RNAcentral.
AGAGUUUGAUCAUGGCUCAGAUUGAACGCUGGCGGCAGGCCUAACACAUGCAAGUCGAACGGUAACAGAAAGCAGCUUGCUGCUUUGCUGACGAGUGGCGGACGGGUGAGUAAUGUCUGGGAAACUGCCUGAUGGAGGGGGAUAACUACUGGAAACGGUAGCUAAUACCGCAUAACGUCGCAAGACCAAAGAGGGGGACCUUCGGGCCUCUUGCCAUCGGAUGUGCCCAGAUGGGAUUAGCUAGUAGGUGGGGUAAAGGCUCACCUAGGCGACGAUCCCUAGCUGGUCUGAGAGGAUGACCAGCCACACUGGAACUGAGACACGGUCCAGACUCCUACGGGAGGCAGCAGUGGGGAAUAUUGCACAAUGGGCGCAAGCCUGAUGCAGCCAUGCCGCGUGUAUGAAGAAGGCCUUCGGGUUGUAAAGUACUUUCAGCGGGGAGGAAGGGAGUAAAGUUAAUACCUUUGCUCAUUGACGUUACCCGCAGAAGAAGCACCGGCUAACUCCGUGCCAGCAGCCGCGGUAAUACGGAGGGUGCAAGCGUUAAUCGGAAUUACUGGGCGUAAAGCGCACGCAGGCGGUUUGUUAAGUCAGAUGUGAAAUCCCCGGGCUCAACCUGGGAACUGCAUCUGAUACUGGCAAGCUUGAGUCUCGUAGAGGGGGGUAGAAUUCCAGGUGUAGCGGUGAAAUGCGUAGAGAUCUGGAGGAAUACCGGUGGCGAAGGCGGCCCCCUGGACGAAGACUGACGCUCAUGUGCGAAAGCGUGGGGAGCAAACAGGAUUAAAUACCCCUGGUAGUCC